Aquila chrysaetos chrysaetos is the source of this 134-nucleotide long non-coding RNA. RefSeq lists it as uncharacterized. The transcript is spliced from 3 exons. NCBI's taxonomy places the organism in Eukaryota, Metazoa, Chordata, Aves, Accipitriformes, Accipitridae. The record is from RefSeq and is a predicted model, not a curated record.
CUCGUAACAUCUUUAACCUGGGCCCCAGGGAGGCAGCAGACUUCCCUAAGAAGUGGGUCCAGUCUGCAUAUUGGGUCUUCUGUUCCCCUCAGAAGAGAGUCUCCUAUGACAAUGACCUGUCUUUUCUACUAUAU